Molecule: ribosomal RNA, 649 nt
Filed under: uncultured bacterium
Lineage: Bacteria
Description: bacterial SSU rRNA
Rfam family: Bacterial small subunit ribosomal RNA
Source: RNAcentral
CAGGCCUAACACAUGCAAGUCGAGCGGAAACGAGUUAUCUGAACCUUCGGGGAACGAUAACGGCGUCGAGCGGCGGACGGGUGAGUAAUGCCUAGGAAAUUGCCCUGAUGUGGGGGAUAACCAUUGGAAACGAUGGCUAAUACCGCAUAAUGCCUACGGGCCAAAGAGGGGGACCUUCGGGCCUCUCGCGUCAGGAUAUGCCUAGGUGGGAUUAGCUAGUUGGUGAGGUAAUGGCUCACCAAGGCGACGAUCCCUAGCUGGUCUGAGAGGAUGAUCAGCCACACUGGAACUGAGACACGGUCCAGACUCCUACGGGAGGCAGCAGUGGGGAAUAUUGCACAAUGGGCGCAAGCCUGAUGCAGCCAUGCCGCGUGUGUGAAGAAGGCCUUCGGGUUGUAAAGCACUUUCAGUCGUGAGGAAGGUAGUGUAGUUAAUAGCUGCAUUAUUUGACGUUAGCGACAGAAGAAGCACCGGCUAACUCCGUGCCAGCAGCCGCGGUAAUACGGAGGGUGCGAGCGUUAAUCGGAAUUACUGGGCGUAAAGCGCAUGCAGGUGGUUUGUUAAGUCAGAUGUGAAAGCCCGGGGCUCAACCUCGGAAUUGCAUUUGAAACUGGCAGACUAGAGUACUGUAGAGGGGGGUAGAAUUUCA